AGAAGACAUCGUAUUGCUCAUCCCAUACCUAAUGACUGAGGUGGCAUGCUGGAUGUACUGGCUGGAGCUACAGAGAAGGACACAGAUGGACUUCACUCUUUGCCUGGGAUUGACAGCAUGUAAAAUACACUCUUUCCCUCUGGUCCCUAAGAGAGACAACCCAAAUUCCAUCCAGUCAUAACAUCAAGCAUCAAGUCUAGAAUCUCUAGUAAUCUUAUAUCAAGAAUGAAGCAAGACAUUGGCACCGGGUCCAGACAUGGCUCCUGAUGAUCCAGAGACAUGGAGGCUAAGGAAACUGCAAUCAGUAGGCACGAGUCCUGGAACAAAAUGAUGCCCUUGCAGAGGUAAACUGAUGUGGAACUUCACUCUGUGAGCGUGAGAUGCCACAGGAGUGGCUGGAGUGGUGGAACAUGGCUCAUGGGGCCACUAGGCUGUGCCUCUCGUACUCGCCACCAUCGAGGGAUUACUGGAGACGGUGGGGAUCCUUGAAUGCCGAAUGCCGCGCAGU
Molecule: long non-coding RNA, 508 nt
Organism: Orcinus orca (killer whale)
Lineage: Eukaryota; Metazoa; Chordata; Mammalia; Artiodactyla; Delphinidae
Exons: 3
Source: RefSeq, a predicted model, not a curated record